UACAGAGGCCCCAAGCGUUAUCCGGAAUCACUGGGCGUAAAGGGUGUGUAGGUUGUUUUGUUAGUCGUCUUUUAAAUCUCCCGGCCUAACCGGGAAGCAGGAGACGAAACGGCAGAACUAGAGGAUGCGAGGGGUGCGUGGAACUCAUGGAGUAGGGGUGAAAUCCGUUGAUAUCAUGGGGAACACCAAAAGCGAAGGCAGCGCACUGGCGCAAUCCUGACACUGAAACACGAAAGCGUAGGUAGCGAAUGGG
Molecule: ribosomal RNA, 253 nt
Filed under: uncultured bacterium
Lineage: Bacteria
Description: partial 16S ribosomal RNA
Rfam family: Bacterial small subunit ribosomal RNA
Source: RNAcentral